This 253-nucleotide ribosomal RNA is filed under the name uncultured bacterium. RNAcentral describes it as "partial 16S ribosomal RNA". It matches the Rfam family "Bacterial small subunit ribosomal RNA", at positions 524 to 776 of the family's 1533-position model. The record is from RNAcentral.
UACAGAGGUCCCAAGCGUUGUUCGGAUUCAUUGGGCGUAAAGGGUGCGUAGGUGGUGCUGUAAGUCAGGUGUGAAAUCUCGGGGCUCAACCCCGAAACUGCAUUCGAUACUGCGGUGCUUGAGGACUGGAGAGGAGACUGGAAUUCAUGGUGUAGCAGUGAAAUGCGUAGAGAUCAUGAGGAAGACCAGUGGCGAAGGCGGGUCUCUGGACAGUUCCUGACACUGAGGCACGAAGGCCAGGGGAGCAAACGGG